This 4314-nucleotide unclassified non-coding RNA is filed under the name Hevea brasiliensis (rubber tree). The record is from RNAcentral. Lineage: Eukaryota; Viridiplantae; Streptophyta; Magnoliopsida; Malpighiales; Euphorbiaceae.
GGCCCAUAGGUUGGGUCGUGACAGCUCUCUUGUUGUCUUUUUAGUGGAAUUAAUAGGGUUUUAUGUUCUUGCAAGAAAAUUGAUCUUUGUAGAUAUUUUGUCUGCUGCAUGGACAAUCUUCGUUCUUUCCUUUAUUAGGCGGAAUCUAUUUUUGUUAUUAUGAUGUUGAGAAAGUAUCUCGCUAUGUGAACAUGUUGACAAACCAGAAAUGAAGAAUAUACAGAAUUCAGUUUGCGUUAUUUUUUCCUUUCUCCGGUGUGUGUGGCUUCAGGUAAAUUGGAGAGGUGAAAAAUUUCUCUGUAUAGAUGCCUGAUUGAAACAUGCAUUAGCCUUUGUUUUUAGUCGCUUGCACGAUGCAAGAAAUUAUGAUGUAAUGCAUGUGGUGGCCAGAAAGAAAGAUUUUAUUAGGUGGAUGCGAUGUUAUUUGAAGAAUAUUAAGAGUAUGCCAUGAAAAUGCAUCUCCUAAGGAAAUUGGCCAUCUUGCAUGGGUAGUUCUAAGGUUGAAUGUACAAUGUUUUGCAGAUGUGCUAGUUAAAUUUACUCUCUUGAAUUCAGAAAAUGAUUUAUGUACUAAAUGAUCUUGAGUAGGCCAAGCCAGGAACUGUGGAAAAGGUGUGUGAAAUAGUGAAGACACAGCUGGCAUUACCACCUGAAAUUGCUGUUACUGGCGAGUCAAAAUUUGCAGCCCUGGGAGCAGAUUCUCUUGAUACGGUAUGUAACAUUUACUAUUGAAGUUUCGGUACACUAAUUUUGCAAUUUUUACUGCAUGAUUUUGCUUUUUCAUAGAUCUGAUGAUGUGUUCCUCUUGCAGGUUAAGUUUUUAUGGUUGAUUGAUGUACCAUCUGUAACUCAUUGGUUUUUGCCUUGUAUAUGUAAAUAUUGUUUGUUUUCCAAUGAAUUUGUCAAGUGGCAGGGGAAACAAAUCACAGAUUAGUUAUUUAUUCUGUUCCAUUCUCAUUUGGUGUAUGUAGUUAAAUAUUUACUGGUCUUUAUGAAUACAAAUUUCUUGAACAUUAUGGAAUAGAAGAAGGCAGGAAGUGAUUAACGACCUCAAAUAGAUAGUUAUGUAUUGGGGAUGGCCUUUCAUGCCUUUGUAUUUUCAGUUCCAAAGAUUUGUCUUUCUGUUAAUAGAAAUUCCUCCAGGAGGAACAUAAGCUAAAACUUCCCAUGUUUGGGUUCGGUCAGCUGUUUGUAGCCUAUGUUAUUGUCCACUAGUUCGUUUCUUUGUUACUAAUUUAUAGGAAUGUGGCAUCUUUGUAGGUUGAGAUUGUGAUGGGACUUGAAGAGGAAUUUGGUAUUAAUGUGGAAGAAGAGAGUGCCCAGAGCAUCAUAACAGUUCAGGAUGCUGCUGAUCUUAUUGAGAUACUUGUUGAGAAGAAGGGUGCUUAGAAGAAAUGCUCAUUACAAUUAGAAUUCUAUUUUCAAGCUUUUUGUUAGCCUGCUUUGGUAGUGCUAGGCAAUCUUGUUGUGAACUAUGUAUUCGCCGGUUUCACCUAGAAUAACUGGUAAAUUGCUCAAUUAUGAAGACCUUAAAUUGCUGAUUUGUCAAAUUAUGCUGGUGUACUGUUAAUACGACUGAGGCCUUGCAUGCUUAUAUUGAUUAGGGCUUAAUUUUAGCAUGAUUGUUAGGACUUAUUUUUAAUUUUACAUAUGGCGUAAUCCCCUGAAGCCCCUGAGAAUAAAAGCCCUAGUCAAACAGAAACUCUUGGGCAUCAAUAUAAUAAAAGCUCUAAAAUUGGGUUAUUUUAAGUAACAAUUUCCUCUGAAACAUAAGAAACCUCCAUGCUUCACUUAUUCUGUAUUACACAGGGCUAUCUUUCGAUGCUUGAUUAACCAGGGGUCCUACUGAUACAAACAAAGCAUUCCAAAUACUAGAGAUACAUUCUACAUAAAGCGGCACAUCUAUUGUACAAGAACAAGUCAAGCAGGCAAUGAAUAAGCAUCUCUUCUGGUGCAGCAAAUUUUUGUCAUCUGGAAGCAUAUUUGCUUGAAUGUACAGAUUGUUAGCCAGUCGUGAUCUCACUUCAUCAUUCCCAAUCAGUAUCAAAGAAACCAGCAUCUUUCAUCUCUGAAUAGCAUACAUUCUCUAGAUGCAAGUAGUCCUCCUGGAAAAAAUCUGCUAAAAAUGUUAUGUAUAUCAGAGGCAGGUAAAAGGCAUGGUAGCAGAAAAUUGUGGUGCCAUACAACCUGCAAAAGAAGAUGAAGGGGAGAAAAAUAAAACAUUCCAUAUGGUCGCUGCAAAUUUUAAAUGCAGUAUUUGAUUAUCUGAUCCAAAAUUACCAGAAACCAAAACCAGUCCCAUUCCCAGUUAGCCCACAGGCAAAUAACGCUAAUGCAUUCAAGGUGAACAUAACAACAAUGUACUUGUAGAACGCGGGCCUUGCUGCAAAAGAUGAAGAAAGACAUAAUAUUAUAACAAACAGCUUCAAAAUUGACAAGAAAACCCUUGUGCCAACAUGCAUGAAUUUGGUAAACUUACCAGGUAAUCUUUCCCUCCACUUGGAAUGGUACAUGAACAAUAUGAAGCCAUAAACUGCAGUUAGUACUAGCCUGUGGACAACCCACAAGCUCCACUUCAUGUGAUGUUGCUGCUCAUUGCUGUCAAUGAACAAAGGGAUCCCAAGUCCAGACAUAUAAAUUGCCUGUAAGAGAAAAAAUUUCAAAUUUAAGGUCCACUGCCUAUUGUCCUCUAGCUUCAAUGCACAAGUUUGGGGAUGGCAGUUCCAUCAACAUCACACAAACAUGAUCUUAGUUCCCAUUGUCAAUAUCAAACAGUUUAAAGUAUUUCAAUUAAAAAAAGAGAAUUACCUUGAGAAGUAUGUCCAAACCAACAAUGAGCACUGAUACAGCAAAUGUCCGUGCCAAAACUUCCAAACCACUUGCAUAAUUUCCUUGGAGUAAAAAGGCAAUCAAGCUUACUUCCAAAAACAGCAUUCCAGAUGUUGUAAACAAAGAUAAAAUAUUCCAUGUCAAUUCUUUUCCAGGAGUGCACUCCCAUGCCUGUGCCGGAGAAGACAGAAUUUCACUUGAUUGUAGCCGAAGGGCCAGAAUGAAAAGCAGAAAGAAGAAGCUCAUAAAGCAAGUCUUGAAACUUGCAUAACUCAACAUAUUGUCCCCAAUGCAUGAAAGACAAUUUUCAAUUAAUCUAAGCGGUGAAACUGUUAUUAACAGCUAUAAGCAAUAGCACCAUGAAUAAACCACAUGACUGCAAUUAGUUGCAGAUUACUUGGAUAAGUUAUCAGAAGCAACCUUCCAAAAACAUAGAGAUGUGCAACCUACUAAAUCAAUCACAAACAUUUUGGUCAGUGCGUCAUGAAAAAUCAAUUAGCAUAACCAUCUUAACUAUGAUUUCAUCAGAUUAUUCUUGCACAUUGGAAGAUAUUCUGAACAGAAGGAUUAGCAUCUAUUAUAAACAAUAGUUGCAGAUAUUGCAAUACAUGCGGCUUGAGUCUACCUGUUAUGUGUGGUAUUUACAAUAAACAACUUCUGUGUCGCAAGUGAAGUUUUUAUCUGCCAUUAUUUGAACUUGAACAUCUAUACUUUUGACAUUUAUGCUGCUCUUAGAAAGAACAGAAGACAAUGCACUCACGCCCACAAACGCACAUCAGAAGGACUAUAUAAAAGAAGGAAGCUAGAUAACCCUGAACUAAGAAAACUAAAACUAGCAGUUUCAUUUAAAAUUCACUAAUUUCCAUAUUUAUGAACUAUUAUAGAUCACCGAUAUCAGGAAAUGUUAGACAUGCCAAAAUGAAUCCACAUUUAUCCCUCAAAUUGCUAUAUGCACUAAGAAAAACUAUCCAAAAUACAAGCUAUAUCAAUAUAAGCAACUAAAAUUAAAAAGACCAAGUUAAGAGUGAAAUGUACAUUCAAGAAACAUACAAACUAGAUGCUGCUUUAAAGAAUCCGACAGCAAAAUAAACUAACCAACCAUAUGGAUUUCAAAUUUAAAGUCACAAACCAGAAAGCAGCACCAAGCAAGAUUGAGCAAGCUAAGGAGGCAAAGCCAUAAUAAGCGUUCAUUAUAUAUGAUCUCCCAUGGGAUAACUUCGGGACACUCUCUUUAACCGGUAAUGCCAAGCAUAGUACAAAAGCAAAAGAAGCCAAAAUGACAGUGACAUUGUGCAAUAACCCGUGGCACUCAAAUAGCCAAUUGUGCAAUCCUGAGCCAAGGAAGCCACUUUCUUUGGGAAAGGAAUUAGUAUUUGUGAAAUAGGGAUUAAAAACGGAGAGGCUGGAGACUCUUGAUGGAGAUUUUGCAUUGUUCUAGAAAGAAUUGGGAGUGGAAAACCCUAAAACAAGGCUUUGAAAUGCUGG